GACGAACGCUGGCGGCGUGCUUAACACAUGCAAGUCGAACGGAAAGGCCCUGCUUUUGUGGGGUGCUCGAGUGGCGAACGGGUGAGUAACACGUGAGUAACCUGUCCCUGACCUUGGGAUAUCUUCAGGCAACUUGAGCUAAUCCCGGAUAGGAGCUCCUGCUUCUUGGUGGGGGUUGGAAAGUUUCGGCGGUUGGUGAUGGAAUCGCGGCUUAUCAGCUUGAUGGUGGGGUAGUGGCUUACCAAGGCUUUGACGGGUAGCCGGCCUGCGCGGGUGACCGGCCACACUGGGACUGAAAUGCGACACAGACUCCUACGGGAGGCAGCGGUGGGGAAUAUAGCACUAUGGGCGGAAGCCUGAUGCAGCAACGCCGCGUGCGGGAAGACGGGCUGCGGGUAGUAAACCGAUUUCGCCUGUGACGAAGCGUGAGUGACGGUAAUGGGUAAAGAAGCACCGGCUAACUACGUG
This 468-nucleotide ribosomal RNA is filed under the name uncultured bacterium. RNAcentral's name for it is "partial 16S ribosomal RNA". It matches the Rfam family "Bacterial small subunit ribosomal RNA", at positions 28 to 507 of the family's 1533-position model. The record is from RNAcentral.